UACCACUUACAGAUGGACCCGCGGCGCAUUAGCUAGUUGGUGAGGUAAUGGCUCACCAAGGCAACGAUGCGUAGCCGACCUGAGAGGGUGAUCGGCCACACUGGGACUGAGACACGGCCCAGACUCCUACGGGAGGCAGCAGUAGGGAAUCUUCCGCAAUGGACGAAAGUCUGACGGAGCAACGCCGCGUGAGUGAUGAAGGUUUUCGGAUCGUAAAGCUCUGUUGUUAGGGAAGAACAAGUGCCGUUCAAAUAGGGCGGCACCUUGACGGUACCUAACCAGAAAGCCACGGCUAACUACGUGCCAGCAGCCGCGGUAAUACGUAGGUGGCAAGCGUUGUCCGGAAUUAUUGGGCGUAAAGGGCUCGCAGGCGGUUUCUUAAGUCUGAUGUGAAAGCCCCCGGCUCAACCGGGGAGGGUCAUUGGAAACUGGGGAACUUGAGUGCAGAAGAGGAGAGUGGAAUUCCACGUGUAGCGGUGAAAUGCGUAGAGAUGUGGAGGAACACCAGUGGCGAAGGCGACUCUCUGGUCUGUAACUGACGCUGAGGAGCGAAAGCGUGGGGAGCGAACAGGAUUAGAUACCCUGGUAGUCCACGCCGUAAACGAUGAGUGCUAAGUGUUAGGGGGUUUCCGCCCCUUAGUGCUGCAGCUAACGCAUUAAGCACUCCGCCUGGGGAGUACGGUCGCAAGACUGAAACUCAAAGGAAUUGACGGGGGCCCGCACAAGCGGUGGAGCAUGUGGUUUAAUUCGAAGCAACGCGAAGAACCUUACCAGGUCUUGACAUCCUCUGACACCCCUAGAGAUAGGGCUUCCCCUUCGGGGGCAGAGUGACAGGUGGUGCAUGGUUGUCGUCAGCUCGUGUCGUGAGAUGUUGGGUUAAGUCCCGCAACGAGCGCAACCCUUGAUCUUAGUUGCCAGCAUUCAGUUGGGCACUCUAAGGUGACUGCCGGUGACAAACCGGAGGAAGGUGGUGAUGACGUCAAAUCAUCAUGCCCCUUAUGACCUGGGCUACACACGUGCUACAAUGGACAGAACAAAGGGCAGCGAGACCGCGAGGUUAAGCCAAUCCCACAAAUCUGUUCUCAGUUCGGAUCGCAGUCUGCAAUUCGGCUGCGUGAAGCUGGCUUAGAGUUUGAUCCUGGCUCAGCAUGCCGCGGUGAAUACGUUCCCGGGCCUUGUACACACC
This 1186-nucleotide ribosomal RNA is filed under the name Bacillus licheniformis. RNAcentral's name for it is "bacterial SSU rRNA". It matches the Rfam family "Bacterial small subunit ribosomal RNA", at positions 213 to 1391 of the family's 1533-position model. The record is from RNAcentral. Lineage: Bacteria; Bacillati; Bacillota; Bacilli; Caryophanales; Bacillaceae.